This 1634-nucleotide long non-coding RNA is filed under the name Salmo salar (Atlantic salmon). RNAcentral's name for it is "lncRNA (ENSSSAG00000099655.1)". The record is from RNAcentral. Lineage: Eukaryota; Metazoa; Chordata; Actinopteri; Salmoniformes; Salmonidae.
CCUCUCUCUCUCUCCCUCUCUCCAUGUUCAGCCUAUAUGUACUCUUCAUGGAGCUCCACCUCCCAACCCAGACUGACUCACAUGUAGCAACACAACAUUUCACCAAGACUGUGACAAUCUAUUUCUACCCAGUACUGUGUCACUCCACAGGCUACUAGUGGACUGUCUGUCUGGCAACUGUCUACUACCCUUUGCCUGGCUGCUGAGGGGCUACUGUAAGCCCUGUGGACUGUGGGACAAGCCGUGUUGGACCGUUGGAUAUUGGUAUCUUUCUUUAGUGCAUAACUGUAUGGAUUAACUGCUGUUCUGUACCAUGGCGUUCCUGACACUCCGGGAGGAUUUCAACCAUGGUAAGAGAGAUAGAAGGCUGUAAUAUCAAGUUACAGACUAAGUUGAACAAGGCAGAAGAACAGUAUAAGUGCAGAGGGACUCUGGUUGAAGUGUUCUAUGGACAUGUAGGAGAGUCUAAGGGACAUGAGAGGUUUAUUGGCUGGACAUGUAGGAGAGUCUAAGGGACAUGAGAGGUUUAUUGGCUGGACAUGUAGGAGAGUCUAAGGGACAUGAGAGGUUUGUUGGCUGGACAUGUAGGAGAGUCUAAGGGACAUGAGAGGUUUAUUGGCUGGACAUGUAGGAGAGUCUAAGGGACAUGAGAGGUUUAUUGGCUGGACAUGUAGGAGAGUCUAAGGGACAUGAGAGGUUUAUUGGCUGGACAUGUAGGAGAGUCUAAGGGACAUGAGAGGUUUAUUGGCUGGACAUGUAGGAGAGUCUAAGGGACAUGAGAGGUUUAUUGGCUGGGCAAGUUCCUGUGCCUGUCUGUUUCAGCCGAAUAGCAAUUUAGUUUUUGACGAUUGUAGAUGAACAACGAGCGCUAGAGAUCUCUGUAUGUCUCUCUUUUUCUCUCUCUGUGGUGAGAUAUGGUGAGCUGGAAGCAUGAGUGAAGGCUGAGGCAGGCAAAAAGACAGACAGGCAGAAAAGCAGGCAGGCAGAAAGACAGGCAUGCAGGCAGGCUUGUGAUGAGCUUCCUUUGAUUAUUCCCGCUGUCAUCAUCACAGCAGCAGAGUGACAGACGGGUGUAAACAGAAUUUUCACAUCUCCUUGGAGACACGGUAGUCAGAACCACUCUUCACACUCUGAGGACAGAGAACAUUCUGUGCAGAUGAAAUAACACUGGAAUUAAGUCCCAAAUAGACGCCUAUGCCCUAGGGUGCUAUUUGUAAGGCAUCCUGGGACUCAGACAGGGAUGUCUUAGCCCGUAAGGCACAGCACAUCGAUACAAAGUGGUUCUGUAGUAACAGUGUAGACACAGGUGUGUUGUCCCUAUGUGCAUUAGGAUAGAGUUUCAAUUUGAUAUCAAAGUCACGGCAGCGUUGUUUUGUCAAAUCCAGCUCCCACUAUCUAUGGUGCUACUUCAUACUGACCAUCUGCGUAGUAAUACGGCUUCAGUUUCAACAUAUCAACAUUAGUUACAUAAGCAAGUGUGAUUGAUAUCCUACUACUUCAGCUCCCCUCAGCAGGUUGACACAAUCACGAACAAUAUGAAUGUUCUUUGAGAGGGAGUCUAAGGACCUCAACAAAUGAUACUGUAGACUAACCUUGAGAAGAGAGGAGGAGGAGGAGAGGAGGAGGAGAGGGGG